CGAUGGAGGGCAAUCUGGUUGUGACAUCUAUCACCCCACUGGAUUGCCAAAGCUGAUUCAGCUGAUCUGGCUGGCUAGGCGGGUAUCCCCUUCCUCCCUCAACCCUCCACGUGUGUCCCUCCCAAAGCUGUAUGCUCAAAGAGGGCGACCUUCCCUGAGAGAGGAGGACCAUUGUUCCGUUAAGGGUAUAAGAGUAGCUGUGCUCCCCUGCUAGAACCUCCAAACCAGCUCUUGAGAGGCACUGCAGUGAGCCCAGUGAGAGAAACAGGGU
RNAcentral lists this small nuclear RNA (271 nucleotides) under Pongo abelii (Sumatran orangutan). RNAcentral describes it as "7SK RNA". It matches the Rfam family "7SK RNA", at positions 1 to 265 of the family's 331-position model. From Rfam's summary of the family: 7SK was discovered as an abundant small nuclear RNA in the mid-70s but a possible function has only recently been suggested. Two independent studies have found that 7SK RNA binds the CDK9/cyclin T complex (known as elongation factor P-TEFb). The record is from Rfam by way of RNAcentral. Lineage: Eukaryota; Metazoa; Chordata; Mammalia; Primates; Hominidae.